Ribosomal RNA from Lepisosteus oculatus (spotted gar), 119 nucleotides. The record is from Ensembl. Lineage: Eukaryota; Metazoa; Chordata; Actinopteri; Semionotiformes; Lepisosteidae.
GCCAGCAACCAUAUCACCCUGCAACUCACAACUGGUAACCCACUGAAGCUAGGCAGGUGUGAGCCUGGUCAGUACCUGGAUGGGAGACCUCCUGGAAAAAACUAAGGUUGCUGCUGGAA